Molecule: ribosomal RNA, 468 nt
Filed under: uncultured bacterium
Lineage: Bacteria
Description: partial 16S ribosomal RNA
Rfam family: Bacterial small subunit ribosomal RNA
Source: RNAcentral
GACGAACGCUGGCGGCGUGCUUAACACAUGCAAGUCGAACGGAAAGGCCCUGCUUUUGUGGGGUGCUCGAGUGGCGAACGGGUGAGUAACACGUGAGUAACCUGCCCUUGACUUUGGGAUAACUUCAGGAAACUGGGGCUAAUACCGGAUAGGAGCUCCUGCUGCAUGGUGGGGGUUGGAAAGUUUCGGCGGUUGGGGAUGGACUCGCGGCUUAUCAGCUUGUUGGUGGGGUAGUGGCUUACCAAGGCUUUGACGGGUAGCCGGCCUGAGAGGGUGCCCGGCCACAUUGGGAAUGAGAUAAGGCCCAGGAUCCUACGGGAGGCAGCAGGUGGGAAUAUUGGAACAUGGGCGGAAGCCUGAUGCAGGAAAGCCGGGGGCGGGAAUACGGCCCUUGGGGUUGAAACCCGUUUCGGCUGGGAACGAGGGUGAGUGACGGUAAUUGGUAAAGAAGGAACGGCUAACUACGUG